Molecule: transfer RNA, 56 nt
Filed under: Pseudogymnoascus sp. VKM F-4520 (FW-2644)
Lineage: Eukaryota; Fungi; Ascomycota; Leotiomycetes; Thelebolales; Thelebolaceae
Rfam family: tRNA
About the family: Transfer RNA (tRNA) molecules are approximately 80 nucleotides in length.
Source: Rfam by way of RNAcentral
GGUAGAGCAUAAUACUGUUAAUAUUGUGGUUAGAUGUUCGAUUCAUCUUAAGGGCU